AUAUCAAUAAGCGGAGGAAAAGAAACCAACAGGGAUUGCCUUAGUAACGGCGAGUGAAGCGGCAAAAGCUCAAAUUUGAAAUCUGACGCAAGUCCGAGUUGUAAUUUGAAGAAGGUAAUUUUUGGGGAGAUGUUGACAAAAGUUCCUUGGAACAGGACGUCAUAGAGGGUGAGAAUCCCGUUUUGUUGACCUCUCUCUCCUUGUAAAAUGCUUUCGAAGAGUCGAGUUGUUUGGGAAUGCAGCUCUAAGUGGGUGGUAAAUUCCAUCUAAAGCUAAAUAUUGGCGAGAGACCGAUAGCGAACAAGUACAGUGAUGGAAAGAUGAAAAGAACUUUGAAAAGAGAGUGAAAAAGUACGUGAAAUUGUUGAAAGGGAAGGGUUUUAAGGGAGACAUGGGAGGUAACGAACAAUUUUCCUUCGGGGAGGUGCACUCGUUGCUUUCUGGGCCAAUAUGGGUUUGAAGAGUGGGAUAAAAGGAUAGGAAUGUGGCCACUUGUUGGUGUUAUAGACUAUCCCAAUACCACUACUUCGGACCAAGGAACGCGAUUCUAGGAUAUUGGCGUAAUCCG
This 568-nucleotide ribosomal RNA is filed under the name [Candida] sp. BG02-3-7-5-1-2. Its description in RNAcentral is "eukaryotic LSU rRNA". It matches the Rfam family "Eukaryotic large subunit ribosomal RNA", at positions 40 to 638 of the family's 3401-position model. The record is from RNAcentral. Lineage: Eukaryota; Fungi; Ascomycota; Saccharomycetes; Saccharomycetales.